Molecule: ribosomal RNA, 468 nt
Filed under: uncultured bacterium
Lineage: Bacteria
Description: partial 16S ribosomal RNA
Rfam family: Bacterial small subunit ribosomal RNA
Source: RNAcentral
GAUGAACGCUGGCGGCGUGCUUAACACAUGCAAGUCGAACGGAAAGGCCGAAGCUUGCUUCGGUACUCGAGUGGCGAACGGGUGAGUAACACGUGGGUGAUCUGCCCUGUACUUCGGGAUAAGCUUGGGAAACUGGGUCUAAUACCGGAUAUGACGAUCUCUUGGAUGGGGUUGUGGAAAGCUUUUGCGGUAUGGGAUGAGCUCGCGGCCUAUCAGCUUGUUGGUGGGGUAAUGGCCUACCAAGGCGUCGACGGGUAGCCGGCCUGAGAGGGUGUACGGCCACAUUGGGACUGAGAUACGGCCCAGACUCCUACGGGAGGCAGCAGUGGGGAAUAUUGCACAAUGGGCGCAGGCCUGAUGCAGCGACGCCGCGUGGGGGAUGACGGCCUUCGGGUUGUAAACUCCUUUCGCAAUCGACGAAGCCUUUUGGUGACGGUAGGUUGAGAAGAAGCACCGGCUAACUACGUG